RNAcentral lists this ribosomal RNA (170 nucleotides) under uncultured Caulobacter sp. Its description in RNAcentral is "partial 16S ribosomal RNA". It matches the Rfam family "Bacterial small subunit ribosomal RNA", at positions 338 to 525 of the family's 1533-position model. Lineage: Bacteria; Pseudomonadati; Pseudomonadota; Alphaproteobacteria; Caulobacterales; Caulobacteraceae. The record is from RNAcentral.
CCUACGGGAGGCAGCAGUGGGGAAUCUUGCGCAAUGGGCGAAAGCCUGACGCAGCCAUGCCGCGUGGAUGAUGAAGGUCUUAGGAUUGUAAAAUCCUUUCACCGGGGACGAUAAUGACGGUACCCGGAGAAGAAGCCCCGGCUAACUUCGUGCCAGCAGCCGCGGUAAUA